GAGGGGUGGUGUCAUAACUCUUGUAGUCAUAAGACUUGCCAGUUGGUAGUUACCAGUAUUCCAGACACUUCCUAAUGCCAGACAAACGCCCCAAGUCUCGGCUUGUCUGGCUCAGAGAUCUAUUCAACUGAUAGCAGCCGGCUGGGGGUAGGGGGGAGACACAUCUUGCAGGGAGCAGCCCUCCGACGACGCACAUCAAGCACAACAUUGUUCUCGGAAGGAAGAAUGGAAAGGUUUGUUUCAGAGUCACAACUUUUUUUUUUUAAGGCACCCGAGUUGUUUUAACAAGUUGCUACAAAACUUGGGUUUCCUGAGGCGAAGCUGUCAGGCACAGAGCAGAUACUGUACCGAACUCCAGAGAGGGAGGGAUCAGAAGGUUAGUCAUUAAAAAAGAAAAAGAAAAAAAAAGAAAAAAGCGGAAAAAAAAAAAGCCCCAGGCACAUCAUGCCUGGAAAUGAUGUAAGACGCGGCCGCUCCUCUGUUAGAACUACAACCAAACAAUGCUCCGGCAGCUGCUCUCCAAAUGUCAGCGCCAACCCCGGCCAAAGGGGCUGCAAAGCCACCCAGCGAAGGACUUUGUGCUCUACCUUUUUCGCCCACAUUUUCCCCAGGCACUCGCAGGAACCUGGCAACACGUAACGUGGCAACCUUUGCCUUCUAAAAUGGCAAGCGGCAGCAUUUCAGAGAACAAAAGGAUUUUUUGAAAGUCAGCUGCAUCUCCAUCCCCACCCCCACCCCACCCCCGACAGCCCCGCCCCCUCCUUCCCUCCCAACUCCGAGUCUGAGAAAACAAAGUGGUGCUGCGGGCAGCCCCGCUCUCGAGUGCCCCCUUGUGACCAAGCCCGGAACAUCACUGAUGUACCUUGAAAUCCGAGGCUCCGCUCCCCGGAAGAACUCUGGGGCAGGCGGUGACCUGUGGAAUGCUGUCUGACAGCCCACCAGGCCCAGGGAGGACACCAGCCCCUACGAUCUCAAGUGACAGAAUCAGCGCUUUCAAAUGACACCUUAUUAUCCAGCUGUGUCCCUGACAGGUGAGGACACAGAUCCAGAGAAGAACUUGGCCGGGGCCCCUGGGGCUUUGUGUCCGCGUCAUAUCACAGACUCCAUCAGUCUUUACAGUUAAUUUGGAAAGAGACACUUAAAGGCCACACUGACAGUGCCACUUGACAGUUAGGGUUUUUUGUCAUUUGCCAAAAUCAAAUCGUCACUGAGGAAACGGGUGAAGCCGGCACUGAAAUCUAUCACUCUCCCUACCCCCGACCUUCAUCCUGAUUCACACUGUUUACGGAUCCAGGCACCUGUUCCUAGAAUCCCAGUUCCACAAGGAGGCUGGAGAGUCUGGGUUGCCCACGUUCUCCAGCGUGGGGUCCUGUCAGAACCUGGGUUCUCUCCAUCUAAGCCUCCUUUCUCCUUUUUUAAACAGCUGCCUCUGUUUCUGUCCUUAAGUUUCUCCUUUGAAUCCUGUAAGAGCAACGUCCAUGUCCAGAAACCCUUUUCUGAAUCUCUUGGUCAAACGUGCUUGGAAUUCAGAACUUCCGCAGUUGUAGAAAGCCCGUGUGUGUGACACACCUGGGGGUCUGGGUGCUCUAAACUGUCUGUCUGCAGGAAGGUGUGCAAAGGCCACUCUGCAAGUGGUCACAAGGUCUGAUUCUGGCCAAUGGCUUUCAGGAUCGCAGCUUCAGGUGCCUCGGGACCAGCAGAGCUGCCAUCCUGGGCUGCCUCCUCCAGAGCAUCUCAGGUCCUGGGCGGGGCUCUGUCCCAGCCCAGCUCACAAAGAGGGUGGCAGAUGGGUGGUGGACUUGGCAUGGUGGGUGGACGAGGUUUCGGUAUCUUUGAGGGAAAGAGGAAUCCAAGAUCAAAUUCAGUAAAACUUAGGACUUCGUCUCUUUCCCUGACCGCGUUGGAGUUCGGGGUGUCCACGUGUUUAUCACGAUGUGUGUUUCACAGGCUGUCCUCAGAAACAUCUUUUUCUGGUUUUUGUUACAAUGGUAAUGGAGGUGCUUUUAAAAGUAGGGGCUUUUAACUGGCUUCUUCCCACAAUAUAGAAAGCUGUCUGUCAGAAUUACAGCAUGGAGUACUCUGGUGUGUCCUUGGAGAUAAACACCUCAUACGUGCAAGGCUGUGUGUGUGUGUCGUGUGUGCUU
Non-coding RNA from Vicugna pacos (alpaca), 2144 nucleotides. NCBI's taxonomy places the organism in Eukaryota, Metazoa, Chordata, Mammalia, Artiodactyla, Camelidae. The record is from RefSeq and is a predicted model, not a curated record.